Long non-coding RNA from Triticum aestivum (bread wheat), 1368 nucleotides. RefSeq lists it as uncharacterized. The transcript is spliced from 2 exons. The record is from RefSeq and is a predicted model, not a curated record. Lineage: Eukaryota; Viridiplantae; Streptophyta; Magnoliopsida; Poales; Poaceae.
CAAAAAACGAACCCACCCUGAACCCCACUCUCCCCACCUCCCGUGACCAACCUGCUUGAUCCCCAUCCCCAGCCUCCUUGGGCCGGCGGGCAAACUCGCCCCGUACGGUGAACCCCGCCGCCGGGUGCCACCCACCCACCGUAGUGCGCCCCAUCAACCCCCACCGCCGUGGGUUGCCCAUCGACAACGCCUCACCUAGUCAACCCCACCACCGUGCACUUCCCAACCAUCACGCCGCGCACCGCCAUCCACACUGCCGCGCGCCACCCGCAAUCCCCGCCUCCAUGACUCCUCCUUUGUCGUCCCGUUCUGCGGUAUCAAAUUUCGGCAGCAAUCCCGUUGAACAGCUUGGAUCCAUGGCGUCAGCGAGCAACUGCACCCCCACAGUCGCGCGACACCCUAGCAGGUGUAGGUGGGCGAGAGGGACGAAGAAGUGGCAAAGGAGCUCCAGCUCGAUCUGCUCGGCUGUCGGCGGAGGAGCGGAGCACCCCUCGCGCAGGUCUAGCUUGAUUCUUAUCGUCCGCCAUCGUGCGUUCAGAGGCCUCCCGCGCUCGAGCUCCUACAGGUGACAGGCAUCUCAUUCUUGCCGAUUUUAGUUGCCGCCACUGAGCUUCUCUGAUUCACCACUAUUCUUUGUAAUUCGCCCAUGCCUCUAUUUCUCUGGACCAGAAGAAGAGAGAAGUUUAUCCUAGCUGAGAGACAGAGUUGAAGCUCAACGUGUAUAUUAAAUAAAAGAAGAUUGCAGUGAUGAUGAGUGCGUGGCUGCCUGUAGUUCUUGUGUUUAAUACAAACACUCCCCUUUCCUUCCCUGCAACAAUGGACACAAGCAUGCAAGGUGCUUCUCCUAUUGUGUCUGCUGGAAGAAGUGGAAAUCUAAUCGGCGUGCAGGUUCUUGGGCAGGUGGGUGUGCUAGUGUAGUUUUUCAGUUGACGAUCUAGCUAGCGCACUUUCUUCAGGUUGGCACCGUUCAGUUUGAAAAGUGUAGUGAGAAGAUGGGGGCACCAACAACGGACCAGCGGUGACCGGGCCUUCUCUCAUCCAGAUCCCCGCGGAUGUGUGUCAUCAAUGCCUUGAGCUGGGCCCGCUCAACCUCAGUCUCCAGGACGAAUACGGCGCUGCCCAGCAGGAAGGGUAACAAAAAAGUUGCAAAAAAUGCGAGUGCAGCUGAUUGCCUCCUCUGUGUUGUGAUGUACUAUGUGUUCUAGUUUUUUUUAAGUUCAUGUUGUGAACCCAACUAAGUUUGAGCACAAAAGUUUAAAUGGCGACUGGUUUGAAUUUUCUCCUAUAGCAAAAAUCUCGCUUCCCUCCUGUGUACUAUGUCCACUUAUGUGUUGUUUGUCAAUGCUUUUUAUCUGAUGUUCAGUAGUA